Molecule: ribosomal RNA, 2827 nt
Filed under: Serratia marcescens
Lineage: Bacteria; Pseudomonadati; Pseudomonadota; Gammaproteobacteria; Enterobacterales; Yersiniaceae
Description: 23S ribosomal RNA
Rfam family: Bacterial large subunit ribosomal RNA
Source: RNAcentral
UUAAGUGACUAAGCGUACACGGUGGAUGCCUAGGCAGUCAGAGGCGAUGAAGGGCGUGCUAAUCUGCGAAAAGCGUCGGUAAGGUGAUAUGAACCGUUAUAACCGGCGAUACCCGAAUGGGGAAACCCAGUGUGUUUCGACACAUUAUCAUGUCAUGAAUACAUAGUGGCAUGAGGCGAACCGGGGGAACUGAAACAUCUAAGUACCCCGAGGAAAAGAAAUCAACCGAGAUUCCCCCAGUAGCGGCGAGCGAACGGGGAGGAGCCCAGAACCUGAAUCGGCUUGUGUGUUAGUGGAAGCGUCUGGAAAGUCGCGCAGCAAAGGGUGAUAGCCCCGUACACUAAAAUGCACAGGUCGUGAGUUCGAUGAGUAGGGCGGGACACGUGACAUCCUGUCUGAAUAUGGGGGGACCAUCCUCCAAGGCUAAAUACUCCUGACUGACCGAUAGUGAACCAGUACCGUGAGGGAAAGGCGAAAAGAACCCCGGCGAGGGGAGUGAAAUAGAACCUGAAACCGUGUACGUACAAGCAGUGGGAGCACCUUCGUGGUGUGACUGCGUACCUUUUGUAUAAUGGGUCAGCGACUUAUAUUUUGUAGCAAGGUUAACCGUAUAGGGGAGCCGUAGGGAAACCGAGUCUUAACUGGGCGAAUAGUUGCAAGGUAUAGACCCGAAACCCGGUGAUCUAGCCAUGGGCAGGUUGAAGGUUGGGUAACACUAACUGGAGGACCGAACCGACUAAUGUUGAAAAAUUAGCGGAUGACUUGUGGCUGGGGGUGAAAGGCCAAUCAAACCGGGAGAUAGCUGGUUCUCCCCGAAAGCUAUUUAGGUAGCGCCUCGUGAACUCAUCUUCGGGGGUAGAGCACUGUUUCGGCUAGGGGGCCAUCCCGGCUUACCAAACCGAUGCAAACUCCGAAUACCGAAGAAUGUUAUCACGGGAGACACACGGCGGGUGCUAACGUCCGUCGUGAAGAGGGAAACAACCCAGACCGCCAGCUAAGGUCCCAAAGUCAUGGUUAAGUGGGAAACGAUGUGGGAAGGCAUAGACAGCCAGGAUGUUGGCUUAGAAGCAGCCAUCAUUUAAAGAAAGCGUAAUAGCUCACUGGUCGAGUCGGCCUGCGCGGAAGAUGUAACGGGGCUAAACCAUGCACCGAAGCUGCGGCAGCGACGCUUAGGCGUUGUUGGGUAGGGGAGCGUUCUGUAAGCCGUUGAAGGUGGCCUGUGAGGGUUGCUGGAGGUAUCAGAAGUGCGAAUGCUGACAUAAGUAACGAUAAAGCGGGUGAAAAGCCCGCUCGCCGGAAGACCAAGGGUUCCUGUCCAACGUUAAUCGGGGCAGGGUGAGUCGACCCCUAAGGCGAGGCUGAAAAGCGUAGUCGAUGGGAAACAGGUUAAUAUUCCUGUACUUGGUGUUACUGCGAAGGGGGGACGGAGAAGGCUAGGCUAGCCGGGCGACGGUUGUCCCGGUUUAAGCGUGUAGGGGGUGUGACCUGGUAAAUCCGGUUGCAUNCAGGUAACAUUAAAUCGUACCCCAAACCGACACAGGUGGUCAGGUAGAGAAUACCAAGGCGCUUGAGAGAACUCGGGUGAAGGAACUAGGCAAAAUGGUGCCGUAACUUCGGGAGAAGGCACGCUGGCAUGUAGGUGAAGUCCCUCGCGGAUGGAGCUGAAGCCAGUCGAAGAUACCAGCUGGCUGCAACUGUUUAAUAAAAACACAGCACUGUGCAAACACGAAAGUGGACGUAUACGGUGUGACGCCUGCCCGGUGCUGGAAGGUUAAUUGAUGGGGUCAGCCGCAAGGCGAAGCUCUUGAUCGAAGCCCCAGUAAACGGCGGCCGUAACUAUAACGGUCCUAAGGUAGCGAAAUUCCUUGUCGGGUAAGUUCCGACCUGCACGAAUGGCGUAAUGAUGGCCAGGCUGUCUCCACCCGAGACUCAGUGAAAUUGAACUCGCUGUGAAGAUGCAGUGUACCCGCGGCAAGACGGAAAGACCCCGUGAACCUUUACUAUAGCUUGACACUGAACAUUGAGCCUUGAUGUGUAGGAUAGGUGGGAGGCUUUGAAGCGUGGACGCCAGUCUGCGUGGAGCCAUCCUUGAAAUACCACCCUUUAAUGUUUGAUGUUCUAACUCGGCCCCGUGAUCCGGGGUGAGGACAGUGUCUGGUGGGUAGUUUGACUGGGGCGGUCUCCUCCCAAAGAGUAACGGAGGAGCACGAAGGUUAGCUAAUCACGGUCGGACAUCGUGAGGUUAGUGCAAAGGCAUAAGCUAGCUUGACUGCGAGAGUGACGGCUCGAGCAGGUACGAAAGUAGGUCUUAGUGAUCCGGUGGUUCUGAAUGGAAGGGCCAUCGCUCAACGGAUAAAAGGUACUCCGGGGAUAACAGGCUGAUACCGCCCAAGAGUUCAUAUCGACGGCGGUGUUUGGCACCUCGAUGUCGGCUCAUCACAUCCUGGGGCUGAAGUAGGUCCCAAGGGUAUGGCUGUUCGCCAUUUAAAGUGGUACGCGAGCUGGGUUUAGAACGUCGUGAGACAGUUCGGUCCCUAUCUGCCGUGGGCGUUGGAAGAUUGAGAGGGGUUGCUCCUAGUACGAGAGGACCGGAGUGAACGCACCACUGGUGUUCGGGUUGUCAUGCCAAUGGCAUUGCCCGGUAGCUAAGUGCGGAAAAGAUAAGCGCUGAAAGCAUCUAAGCGCGAAACUUGCCUCAAGAUGAGUCUUCCCUGGGCCUUUAAGGCCCCUGAAGGAACGUUUAAGACUAAGACGUUGAUAGGCUGGGUGUGUAAGUGCAGCGAUGCAUUGAGCUAACCAGUACUAAUGAUCCGUGAGGCUUAACCUU